This 3468-nucleotide long non-coding RNA is filed under the name Sus scrofa (pig). RNAcentral describes it as "lncRNA (ENSSSCG00015007486.1)". The record is from RNAcentral. Lineage: Eukaryota; Metazoa; Chordata; Mammalia; Artiodactyla; Suidae.
CAAAUAUACUAAAAAAUAUAAAUCUAUUUAACAAACUGAGAAAAGAGUAUGUCUUGUGAAAAGCAUGCCUUUAUAUUGACAAAAUUUAUACGUACAUGUAAAGUUAUGGCUUUUAUACUACUGAAGUCAAGAAAAUAGUAAAAGCAAUUAAAUUAUCUUAUUGUGCAUGUCUGAGUAUUAUAAUAUAGUUUAUUAUGUUGACUAAGAAAAUGAAGGAUGUAAAACAUAUAGCUUAUUAUAUAUUUAUUCUAUAAUAUUCAUCUUAGCCAAAUCAGUUAUUUUAAUCAAGAUUUUUCACAUAAUUUAUAUUCUAGUGACUGUGGUGAUCAAGAAUUAAAAAUAUUAAAAGUGUAGGAGUUCCUGUCCUGGCUCAGUGGUGAACGAACCUGACUGGCAUCCAGAAGGACAUGGGUUCAAUCCCUGGCCUUGUUCAGUGGAUUAAGGAUCUGGCGUUGCUGUGAGCUGUGGUGCAGGUCGAAGACAGGGCUCAGAUCCCGCAUUGCUGUGGCUCUGACAUAUGCUGGGGGCCACAGCAUCGAUUUGAUGUCUAACCUGGGACCCUCCAUAUGCCGCAGGUGCAGCCCUAAAAGAUUAAAAAAAAAAAAUUAAAAGUGUAAAAAUUAAUUUUGGAAUAUUUUCAUCAAAGAUGUAAAGUAAAUGUUAAAAAAAAAAGGAAUAUGAAAAUCAUUUUUAUAUAUCUUUUCAAAAGAGGCUUUCCUCCCCAAAUAUCAAGGUUAUCUAUAAAAUGAAAAGGCAGAAGCUAAAUUAUAAUAACUAUCAAAAUAUUAAAUAAGAUAUUUUAAAAUAAAGCCUUCACCCUCAUGGGACAGUUUUGCCACCUGGUACUGGAGGAUGAGAAGCCUCUAGGAAAAAAAGCGAAUCACAGUGCAAAAGCCCCAGUCCAUUGUCAGGCACAGAGAGGGAGGUUCAGGUAACUCAGGUGAGCUCAGGUGCGCCACCAGCUGCAUGAAGCUUCCCAAGAGAGCACCCAGGCAAGAUGAGAAAAAGAACCAACUCACCAAUACACAGAAGCAUAGGAAAUAAUUAUUAGAAAUUGGAGACAAUGUUAUUCUCACUUACAACCACAGAAGAAAGAAUAAAUGACUUGCCCAGUGUAAUACUGUCUCUUGGUGCAGGAACCAUGAUUUAAAACAAACACGCCAUACUUAUUUCUCCUUUGUGCUCUUUCUUAGGAAGUGGCAGAGAAUCUUCAGGGAAACUGUAACUGGAUCUAGAUUAUGGCUUCGGCCCAUAGAUUUUAUCUGUUAGGUAAAAUUUAGAAUUUAGAAUUUUAGAUUCUCCUGAUCCUUGUGGAGGAACAAAGCAUUAGAUGAAGAUUUUUUAUUUGGCACUGAGUUAAUGCAGGAGUGAAGGUAUAUCAAAUGAACUAAAAGAAAUAGGGUGACAUGCAAUUUUGUUUAGCAAAACCCUUACUAACAUAAAUUCUAUUUCACUUUCUAACUGCACCCAUAUAAUCCUGAUCCCAAAUUAGCCUUCAUUAUAUUCAGUGAAACCACGUGCAUUUGGUUUUCUAAAACAUAUUAUCUGAGGCAUCAUUAAUGAAGCGUAUCAAAUUAACAGAUAUUUGUUGAGCUCAUGCUGUGCGGAAGGCUCUGUGUUGGAUGUGGUAUCACAUGUUCCAUCCUGAAGAGCCAGUGUGGGUGGCCUCCUGUAGCCGGCUCAGAUUUCUGGAAUGAUGUGGGUAUUUUUCUUUGAUGGUAAUAACGGAUGAAUGAGGAUGCUCGAUUCCUUUUGCACACUUGAGGCUAUAUGAACUAUUGGUCAUUUGUAUAUCAAAGAAAUGAUUCCUGCUGUACAUCUUCUGCCCAGCAAUGUGUUAAUAGCUUCAUCUAUCCAUUUCAAAUAGAAGGGAAGCUAUUUUUUAUUUUAUACUCUUGAGUUGUUUGACUAUUUCUUUGUCCAAAUGUUAUUUUUAUUUACACGUGCUAAUUUUUAAAAGUACAUGUGCUCAGAAGCUAAUAUUUGACAACAUGUGUAUAUCUUUUUAUUAUUUUUAUUUUUUCUCAUUUAUACUUAUUUUUUGAAAGAUUCUUUAAAUUCUACAGUGUUUUACAAUUUUUAAGUUUCACACACAAUUUUGUAUAAUCCCUUAAUAACAUUUUUUAUCCCUUACCCCUAUAUAUUUUUGGGUUGUUCAGUGAGCGUUUAUUUAUGUUAUUUAAAAUGCUUUCAUUUUUGCACAGUUUGCUCAGGACCCCACGACAAAAUACCAUAGACUGGAAGGCUUAAACAACAGAAGUUUAUUUUCUCACAGUUCUGGAGGUAGGAAGUUCACGCUCAGGGUGUUGGCGGUUGUGGUUUCUCCUGAGUCCUCUCUCCUUGGCCUGCAGACGGCCACCUGCUUGCUGUGUCCACACAUGGCCUUUUCACUGUGCAUUCACAUCGCUGGUAUCUCUGCCUCUGUUUAGGGACACUGGUCAGACUGGACUAGGCCCCACCCAUAUGAUCUCAUGUAACCUUAAUUACCCUUGAAAUGUCCUGUCUUUCCAUACAGACACAUUCUAAAGCACUAGGAGUUAAGGCUUUCAUAUAUGCAUUUAAGGAAGCACAAUUCAGCCCGUAACAAUUUUCAUUAUCUUAUUUAUAUUAACAGAAUAUAUAAAUUCCUUUAUGCUAUUAUUAAACGACACUGUGUUUUCCUCUUUACAUUAUUUUAAAGGUCUACAUUUUACAUACCUCUUUGAUUGUAACAAUAAUUAUUAUUUAACAUUUAUUUGGUACUUAGUAUCUGUCAGGCAUGCUGCUAAUUAUUUGAAUUAUAUAGCAUGUAAGCUGUAUGCAACCGUAAGAGCUAGAUACUACUAUUAUUUCUAUUGUGGUGGUGAGAAAACAGAGGUUUAGGAUGUUCACAGACUUGUAAAAGUUCAUGACUGAUAAAUGGAAAAGACUAGAGGCCCUUUGUCUGCAAAACAACUUUGUGAAAUCUGUAUUGCAGGUACUAUGUAAUUUGUUGGGGGUGGGGUAGUGGCUAGUUCCCUUAGCAGAUUUUGAAUUCCUACCUGGUAGCUCCAUUUAUUCUUUUUGAUUCAACCUAACCUUCCAAAGCUAUGUCUCAGUAAACAUUCUGCUGAACUUGAAUGCAAGGGUGCUUCCUACAUUUUUUGAAUCAAACCAAAUCAAGAGAUGAAACAGUUUGCCUAAGGCUACCCAGUUAAUUGGUGACAGAUUAAAAAACUAGAACUUUAUUACAUUUCUGGUCCAGUUAUUGUACUUUUACACCAAAUUGCUCCCUUUAAGAGUGACAUGACCUGCUAAAGUUUGUAGGAAAGAGAGAGAAACACACACCACAUAUUCAUUUGAGAAUGCUUGUUCUCUCCAAAAGAGAACCCCAACACAGAGCUUUUCUCCUCUGGCAAUCAGAUAUUGAUCUAAUAACUCAGAGCCGACUUUAGAUGAAGGAAUUCAGUGCUAUUUUCAGAACAGCCACAACGCCAUUUUUAAAUUUAU